GACGAACGCUGGCGGCGUGCUUAACACAUGCAAGUCGAACGGAAAGGCCCUGCUUUUGUGGGGUGCUCGAGUGGCGAACGGGUGAGUAACACGUGAGUAACCUGCCCUUGACUUUGGGAUAACUUCAGGAAACUGGGGCUAAUACCGGAUAGGAGCUCCUGCUGCAUGGUGGGGGUUGGAAAGUUUCGGCGGUUGGGGUUGGACUCGCGGCUUAUCAGCUUGUUGGUGGGGUAGUGGCUUACCAAGGCUUUGACGGGUAGCCGGCCUGAGAGGGUGACCGGCCACAUUGGGACUGAGAUACGGCCCAGACUCCUACGGGAGGCAGCAGUGGGGAAUAUUGCACAAUGGGCGGAAGCCUGAUGCAGCAACGCCGCGUGCGGGAGGACGGCCUUCGGGUUGUAAACCGCUUUCGCCUGUGACGAAGCGUGAGUGACGGUAAUGGGUAAAGAAGCACCGGCUAACUACGUG
RNAcentral lists this ribosomal RNA (468 nucleotides) under uncultured bacterium. RNAcentral describes it as "partial 16S ribosomal RNA". It matches the Rfam family "Bacterial small subunit ribosomal RNA", at positions 28 to 507 of the family's 1533-position model. The record is from RNAcentral.